UUACUGUAAGAAUAAGCACCGGCUAAUUCCGUGCCAGCAGCCGCGGUAAUACGGAAGGUGCAAGCGUUAUCCGGUUUUAUUGGGUUUAAAGGGUGCGUAGGCGGCUUAUUAAGUCAGUUGUGAAAUCCUAGUGCUUAACGCUAGAACUGCAAUUGAUACUAUUAGGCUUGAGUUAAGAAUAGGUAAGUAGAAUUUAUGGUGUAGUAGUGAAAUGCUUAGAUAUCAUAAGGAAUACCAAUAGCGUAGGCAGCUUACUGGUCUUUAACUGACGCUGAGGCACGAAAGCGUGGGGAGCAAACAGGAUUAGAUACCCUGGUAGUCCACGCCGUAAACGAUGAUCACUCGGUAUACAUAAAUUUAUGUGUGUCUAAGCGAAAGCGUUAAGUGAUCCACA
Molecule: ribosomal RNA, 394 nt
Filed under: Cardinium endosymbiont of Bemisia tabaci
Lineage: Bacteria; Pseudomonadati; Bacteroidota; Cytophagia; Cytophagales; Amoebophilaceae
Also listed under: 2 other names
Description: bacterial SSU rRNA
Rfam family: Bacterial small subunit ribosomal RNA
Source: RNAcentral